GAAUAUUGGACAAUGGGGGCAACCCUGAUCCAGCCAUGCCGCGUGAGUGAAGAAGGCCUUAGGGUUGUAAAGCACUUUCGAUCGGGAUGAUAACGACGGUAGCGGUAGAAGAAGCUCCGGCUAACUCCGUGCCAGCAGCCGCGGUAAUACGGAGGGAGCUAGCGUUGUUCGGAAUUACUGGGCGUAAAGCGCGCGUAGGCGGCUUGACAAGUAGAGGGUGAAAUCCCGGGGCUUAACCUCGGAACUGCCCUCAAAACUGUUGAGCUAGAGACAUGGAGAGGUGAGUAGAAUUCCUAGUGUAGAGGUGAAAUUCGUAGAUAUUAGGAAGAAUACCAGUGGCGAAGGCGGCUCACUGGCCAUGUACUGACGCUGAGGUGCGAAAGCGUGGGGAGCGAACAGGAUUAGAUACCCUGGUAGUCCACGCCGUAAACGAUGAAUGCUAGAUGUNGGGCAGCUUGCUGUUCAGUGUCGCAGCUAACGCAUUAAGCAUUCCGCCUGGGGAGUACGGUCGCAAGAUUAAAACUCAAAGGAAUUGACG
Molecule: ribosomal RNA, 538 nt
Filed under: uncultured bacterium
Lineage: Bacteria
Description: bacterial SSU rRNA
Rfam family: Bacterial small subunit ribosomal RNA
Source: RNAcentral